This is an RNA transcript of Cyanidioschyzon merolae strain 10D, 1502 nucleotides long. RefSeq lists it as hypothetical. The transcript has a single exon. Lineage: Eukaryota; Rhodophyta; Bangiophyceae; Cyanidiales; Cyanidiaceae. The record is from RefSeq and is a predicted model, not a curated record.
AAGGCAACUUGUGGGUGCAGCAAAUCGUUCCGCUGGAUGGACGACAGAAACAAAAAAUCGACGUCGUCCGUUGGCGCCUCGUUCACAAGCUCAUGCUGAACGGUCUCUAUGCUCGUCUCGCCAAAUUAUCGAGUCCACUCGAAUGACAUAUCCUCCGAUUGAUGUGACCAUCAACGAAACGGCAAGCGGAAGCAGCAGCAGCAGCAGCAGCGGCAGCUUCGUAGCUCCCGGGGGAUACGCUGCCCCCUCGAGGAUCCCGUCGCGUGCGUUUGCGCGGAAAAAGGGCCCUGGGCUCGGACGUGAGCCAUCCUUGCGACUCAUUCCAGUGAAACGUCCGUCACCGUGAUCCACAGAAGGACUAUAGACCGAUCGAAACGUGUCGACUUGUUCUCCAGUCUGGACUGGAUUUCCGAUCACCUCUUUGAUCAUGGACAAUAUCGCAGUACACGAAUUGUCUAUCGAAUCGAACACCGUGCGCUUGCACCUGUAGCGGAUAGAGUACGCACGUAGCAGAUCGCCCAGAGGAGGCCUGUACUUGUAGUGUGUGCAGCUCUGGGCGCUGCUAUCGAGGUGUGUAUCGAGCUGAGCGUUCUACACUCGUGAGCGGCGUGUGCCGAGCGAUGAAGCGAGCGUUCACGCGCCACAGGGUGGUCUUCGACGCAGGUCGACGUGCAGAGAACGAAUGAGUGCAGGUAACCACAGCGCGGUGUCGGCGCUGUGAAGCGCGUACCGAGGCUGUAUGCAACCAAGAUGGAAAUGACACGGCUAGCGUAGAUCUCCGUAUUUGUGUGUGUAUGCGAUGUGCCGGAAGCAGCGGUGAACGGCGAAAUCGGAACGCGGACGCUGUUUUCAGCAUCCUUCGACUGUUGAGAAUAGAGGCGGGCGGACUGGCGCGACCGGCGUCGUCAAAGCCGGUGAUGCGCAAUACAGGAACAGGAAGCAGUCGCGGACAUAGUUUCCAGAUGCUGGUGUUCAUGGCAGUGAAAAUAGACACAAACUUGAGCGUCUAUACACGAGUUAGCUCAGUGGACCUGUUCCAUUUUACUCUGAGCUGGGGCUUGCUCAUGAUCCGUGUACGCACACCACGGACUGCUCGUCGCGACGUCAGUGAGUGAAGGCAGUUUCGCGCACGACACACCACAGCGGGGUACAAGUUAUGCUCAGGCUGUGUUGCAUUCCGCGUGAAGCGUGAUGCAUGACUCACCAUCGCUUUGGAGACGACGAAACUGCUGCAUGCGAGGCGCGUGGGCGCUGCGUAAACGGCACGCGAUUCCGUUCUUGAAAGAGAAACGAGUUUCACGCGAUUGCACUCAUUUCCGACGGUGUCACCACAACAGGUGACGCACACGGGAGAUCACGGUUUGGCAACGAUUUCGUUUCAGUGCAUGGCUUGCGCCAGAGCAUCUGCUCUCGAUAACAAAUGUAUCUGGAUGCUGGCACGACGCGCCUAACCAGCAACCUUGCAUCGACUCAGCGCAAAGCAUAAACUUGUAUGCAUGCCC